GUGCUUCGUGUAGGUGAGCAAGAACCGUCGGGUGCCGUGUUGAAGAUGAUGUGGGGGCUGCCACUGAAGUUCAAAGGCUUUUGAUGAAGGUGAUGCCAUAACACCUCUCUUUUUGGAUUUAUGGGAUACUUGAAGUUCAACUUCAAGUGGUUGGAAGCUUGAAGAUGAAGAUCUUCAAGUAAGGUAUGAAGAACUACCUUCUCCUCUUUCCUUACUUUGGAACUAAGAAACUUUACAAUUAUGAGAGAAGUGAGAAAGCAAGUAGUUAAGGUUGCUUUGGUGUCCUUUGCUUCAAAGAGAUCAUUUCCUAUUUAUAGGCAAAGCUUAGGAUGUGUUAGGAAUUAGGAAACUUGAUUGGAAUGUUAUGGUCAUUGCAAGAAUAGGAAUAUAUUCUUCAUCAUUGCAAGAAUAAGAAUAAGAAUAUAUUCUUCAUCAUUGCAAGAAUAAGAAUAAGAAUAAGAAUAUAUUCCUUAUGUCAUUAUGCAAAGAUAUUCUCAUGAUAUAAGCCAUGUGUGUAAAUUUUUAUGUCAUUUUAUGAUAUCUCUAAGUUGCAUAAUUUUAUGACAUAAAAAUCUCUCUUUGACAUUCUUUGACUUUUGCUAAUUUCACCCCUCUUUUUGUUUCUUUUUUCAUGUUGCAUGAGGACCUUUGAAGAAAGAAUGAAGAAAUUUGAACUUGAAGAAUGAAGACUUUGAAGAAUGAAGAAUUCAAGAAAGUCUUUGAAGUUUUUUUUUUCUUUUUUCUUGUAAUUCAUUCCAACUUGAAAAUGUAUGAACUUUGUAUUCUUGAAAUGAUGUAAUUCUUGAACUUUAGAUAAAGUUCCUUUUGUAAUCCAUGUGUAACUUAGAACUUGUUUUAUGUAAAAGAAUUCCAUUUGGAAAUAUUCUUUUAGAAUCUUGAAUGAAAUUGUAUGGAACUUGAAUA
Molecule: long non-coding RNA, 924 nt
Organism: Vicia villosa (hairy vetch)
Lineage: Eukaryota; Viridiplantae; Streptophyta; Magnoliopsida; Fabales; Fabaceae
Exons: 2
Source: RefSeq, a predicted model, not a curated record